GACGUGCUUGCACUGAAUGAGAUUUUAACACGAAGUGAGUGGCGGACGGGUGAGUAACACGUGGGUAACCUGCCCAGAAGCAGGGGAUAACACCUGGAAACAGAUGCUAAUACCGUAUAACAGAGAAAACCGCCUGGUUUUCUUUUAAAAGAUGGCUCUGCUAUCACUUCUGGAUGGACCCGCGGCGCAUUAGCUAGUUGGUGAGGUAACGGCUCACCAAGGCGAUGAUGCGUAGCCGACCUGAGAGGGUAAUCGGCCACAUUGGGACUGAGACACGGCCCAGACUCCUACGGGAGGCAGCAGUAGGGAAUCUUCCACAAUGGACGCAAGUCUGAUGGAGCAACGCCGCGUGAGUGAAGAAGGGUUUCGGCUCGUAAAGCUCUGUUGUUAAAGAAGAACGUGGGUGAGAGUAACUGUUCACCCAGUGACGGUAUUUAACCAGAAAGCCACGGCUAACUACGUGCCAGCAGCCGCGGUAAUACGUAGGUGGCAAGCGUUAUCCGGAUUUAUUGGGCGUAAAGCGAGCGCAGGCGGUCUUUUAAGUCUAAUGUGAAAGCCUUCGGCUCAACCGAAGAAGUGCAUUGGAAACUGGGAGACUUGAGUGCAGAAGAGGACAGUGGAACUCCAUGUGUAGCGGUGAAAUGCGUAGAUAUAUGGAAGAACACCAGUGGCGAAGGCGGCUGUCUGGUCUGUAACUGACGCUGAGGCUCGAAAGCAUGGGUAGCGAACAGGAUUAGAUACCCUGGUAGUCCAUGCCGUAAACGAUGAUUACUAAGUGUUGGAGGGUUUCCGCCCUUCAGUGCUGCAGCUAACGCAUUAAGUAAUCCGCCUGGGGAGUACGACCGCAAGGUUGAAACUCAAAAGAAUUGACGGGGGCCCGCACAAGCGGUGGAGCAUGUGGUUUAAUUCGAAGCUACGCGAAGAACCUUACCAGGUCUUGACAUCUUCUGCCAACCUAAGAGAUUAGGCGUUCCCUUCGGGGACAGAAUGACAGGUGGUGCAUGGUUGUCGUCAGCUCGUGUCGUGAGAUGUUGGGUUAAGUCCCGCAACGAGCGCAACCCUUAUUACUAGUUGCCAGCAUUCAGUUGGGCACUCUAGUGAGACUGCCGGUGACAAACCGGAGGAAGGUGGGGACGACGUCAAAUCAUCAUGCCCCUUAUGACCUGGGCUACACACGUGCUACAAUGGAUGGUACAACGAGUUGCGAAACCGCGAGGUUUAGCUAAUCUCUUAAAACCAUUCUCAGUUCGGACUGUAGGCUGCAACUCGCCUACACGAAGUCGGAAUCGCUAGUAAUCGCGGAUCAGCAUGCCGCGGUGAAUACGUUCCCGGGCCUUGUACACACCGCCCGUCACACCAUGAGAGUUUGUAACACCCAAAGCCGGUGGGGUAACCUUUUAGGAGCUA
RNAcentral lists this ribosomal RNA (1407 nucleotides) under Pediococcus acidilactici. RNAcentral's name for it is "bacterial SSU rRNA". It matches the Rfam family "Bacterial small subunit ribosomal RNA". Lineage: Bacteria; Bacillati; Bacillota; Bacilli; Lactobacillales; Lactobacillaceae. The record is from RNAcentral.